AGCAGCCGCGGUAAUUCCAGCUCCAAUAGCGUAUAUUAAAGUUGUUGCAGUUAAAAAGCUCGUAGUUGAAUUUCGGGAUCAGUUGAUCGGUCGUGCCUCGGUACGUACUGGUCAAAUUGAUUCCUACCUUCUGACGAACCACGAUGUCAUUAAUUUGGUGUCGCGGGAAAUCAGGACUGUUACUUUGAAAAAAUUAGAGUGUUUAAAGCAGGCUCGCGCUUGAAUACAUUAGCAUGGAAUAAUGAAAUAGGACGUUUGAUUCUAUUUUGUUGGUUUCUAGGAUCGACGUAAUGAUUAAUAGGGAUAGUUGGGGGCAUUAGUAUUCAAUUGUCAGAGGUGAAAUUCUUGGAUUUAUUGAAGACUAACUACUGCGAAAGCAUUUGCCAAGGAUGUUUUCAUUAAUCAAGAACGAAAGUUAGGGGAUCGAAGACGAUCAGAUACCGUCGUAGUCUUAACCAUAAACUAU
RNAcentral lists this ribosomal RNA (466 nucleotides) under uncultured Glomus. RNAcentral describes it as "SSU rRNA". It matches the Rfam family "Eukaryotic small subunit ribosomal RNA", at positions 569 to 1040 of the family's 1831-position model. The record is from RNAcentral. Lineage: Eukaryota; Fungi; Glomeromycota; Glomeromycetes; Glomerales; Glomeraceae.